GUGUGGAACAUUUUCAAAACUGCUUUUUAAAUACUUUGUAAAAUGCAUCUAUGAGAUUUUUUUUUAAUCCACAUUCCUCUUUUCCACCUCAAGGAACUCUAAUAAAUUAGUAAUUUCUACUUAUUAAGCCAAACUUCGUUACAUAUAACCUUCAGACACACACUGAAGAGCUCUCAAUGCCUGUGAAGGGUGAAACUCAGGAAGCAGAGCUCUCUGGGGCCAUAGCCAGAGC
This 232-nucleotide long non-coding RNA is filed under the name Pan troglodytes (chimpanzee). RNAcentral's name for it is "long non-coding RNA NONPTRT016399". The record is from RNAcentral. Lineage: Eukaryota; Metazoa; Chordata; Mammalia; Primates; Hominidae.